RNAcentral lists this ribosomal RNA (567 nucleotides) under Scedosporium apiospermum. RNAcentral describes it as "eukaryotic LSU rRNA". The stretch from base 168 to 321 matches the Rfam family "5.8S ribosomal RNA". Lineage: Eukaryota; Fungi; Ascomycota; Sordariomycetes; Microascales; Microascaceae. The record is from RNAcentral.
GAGUUACUACUCCAAACCCAUUGUGAACCUUACCUAUGUUCUGUUGCCUCGGCGGCGUGGUCAGCGCCCCCUCUGAAAAGAGGACGAUGCCCUCCCGCCGGCAGCACCAAACUCUUUGAAUUUUACAGCGGAUUACAGUUCUGAUUUGAAAACAAAAAACAAGUUAAAACUUUCAACAACGGAUCUCUUGGUUCUGGCAUCGAUGAAGAACGCAGCGAAAUGCGAUAAGUAAUGUGAAUUGCAGAAUUCAGUGAAUCAUCGAAUCUUUGAACGCACAUUGCGCCCGGCAGUAAUCUGCCGGGCAUGCCUGUCCGAGCGUCAUUUCAACCCUCGAACCUCCGUUUCCUCAGGGAAGCUCAGGGUCGGUGUUGGGGCGCUACGGCGAGUCUUCGCGACCCUCCGUAGGCCCUGAAAUACAGUGGCGGUCCCGCCGCGGUUGCCUUCUGCGUAGUAAGUCUCUUUUGCAAGCUCGCAUUGGGUCCCGGCGGAGGCCUGCCGUCAAACCACCUAUAACUCCAGAUGGUUUGACCUCGGAUCAGGUAGGGUUACCCGCUGAACUUAAGCAUA